GUUAUAUGGUCAAGCGAAUAAGCGCACACGGUGGAUGCCUAGGCGGUCAGAGGCGAUGAAGGACGUGGUAGCCUGCGAAAGUGUCGGGGAGCUGGCAACAAGCUUUGAUCCGGCAAUGUCCGAAUGGGGAAAACCCACUGCUUCGGCAGUAUCCUGCAGUGAAUUCAUAGCUGCUGGAAGCGAACCCGGUGAACUGAAAUAUCUAAGUAACCGGAGGAAAAGAAAUCAACCGAGAUUCCCUAAGUAGUGACGAGCGAACGGGGAGCAGCCCUUAAGCUGGAAUGGCUUUAGAAAAACAAUCUGGAAAGAUUGGCCAUAGAAGGUGAUAGCCCUGUAUUUAAAAGGGCCACUCCAGUGAAGACGAGUAGGGCGGGGCACGUGAAACCCUGUCUGAAUAUGGGGGGACCAUCCUCCAAGGCUAAAUACUCCUGACCGACCGAUAGUGAACCAGUACCGUGAGGGAAAGGCGAAAAGAACCCGGAGAGGGAGUGAAAUAGAUCCUGAAACCGUGUGCGUACAAGCAGUAGGAGCUCGCAAGAGUGACUGCGUACCUUUUGAUAAUGGUCAGCGACUUACUGUUCGUUGGCAAGUCUUAACCGUAGUAAGGGGAGGCGAAGGGAAACCGAGUCUG
RNAcentral lists this ribosomal RNA (631 nucleotides) under Xanthomonas phaseoli pv. manihotis str. CIO151. RNAcentral describes it as "Xanthomonas axonopodis pv. manihotis str. CIO151 partial 23S ribosomal RNA". It matches the Rfam family "Bacterial large subunit ribosomal RNA", at positions 1 to 685 of the family's 2925-position model. The record is from RNAcentral. Lineage: Bacteria; Pseudomonadati; Pseudomonadota; Gammaproteobacteria; Lysobacterales; Lysobacteraceae.